AGAUAAUAGAUACCCUGGUAGUCCACGCCCUAAACGAUGUCUACUAGUUGUUGGUGGAGUAAAAUCCAUGAGUAAACGCAGCUAACGCGUGAAGUAGACCGCCUGGGGAGUACGGUCGCAAGAUUAAAACUCAAAGGAAUUGACGGGGGCCCGCGCAAGCGGUGGAUUAUGUGGAUUAAUUCGAUGCAACGCGAAAACCUUACCUGGCCUUGACAUGCCACUAACGAAGCAGAGAUGCAUUAGGUGCCCGUAAGGGAAAGUGGACACAGGUGCUGCAUGGCUGUCGUCAGCUCGUGUCGUGAGAUGUUGGGUUAAAGUCCCGCAACGAGCGCAACCCUUGCCAUUAAUUGCCAUCAUUUAGUUGGGCACUUUAAUGGGACUGCCGGUGACAAACCGGAGGAAGGUGGGGAUGACGUCAAGUCCUCAUGGCCCUUAUGGCCAGGGCUUCACACGUAAUACAAUGGUCGGUACAGAGAGUUGCCAACCCGCGAGGGGGUAGCUAAUCUCAGAAAGCCGAUCGUAGUCCGGAUUGUUCUCU
Molecule: ribosomal RNA, 538 nt
Filed under: uncultured bacterium
Lineage: Bacteria
Description: bacterial SSU rRNA
Rfam family: Bacterial small subunit ribosomal RNA
Source: RNAcentral